GCAAGCACAUCCAGGCUGGGGCGAAGAAGGUCCUGAUCACCGCCCCAGGAAAGGGUGCCAUCCCCACCUUCGUUGUGGGUGUGAACGAGCAGGACUAUAAGCACUCGGACGCUAUCAUUAGCAACGCCUCGUGCACAACCAACUGCCUUGCUCCCUUCGUCAAGGUGUUGGACGAGAAGUUCGGAAUCAUCAAGGGAACCAUGACCACUACCCACUCCUACACUGGUGACCAGAGGCUGCUCGAUGCCUCCCACCGUGACUUGAGGAGAGCGCGUGCCGCAGCCCUGAACAUUGUGCCCACCUCCACCGGAGCUGCCAAGGCCGUGGCUCUCGUAUUGCCAAAUCUGAAGGGAAAGAUCAACGGAAUUGCCCUCCGUGUGCCCACCCCUAAUGUGUCAGUUGUAGACUUGGUCGUCCAAGUUGAGAAGAAGACCUUUGCCGAGGAGGUAAACCAGGCCUUUAGAGAUGCAUGCCAAACUGAGCAGUUGAAGGGAGUGUUGGCCGUGUGCGACGAGCCAUUGGUGUCAGUGGACUUCAGGUGCACUGAUGUGUCAUCUACGGUGGACUCAUCGUUGACGAUGGUCAUGGGAGACGAUAUGGUGAAGGUUGUGGCAUGGUACGACAACGAGUGGGGAUACUCACAGAGGGUCGUCGACCUGGCCAACCUGGUUGCGGAGAAAUGGGAGUAGAUUGCCUACUUAGAGCGUUCUGCAGGUGAAGGUCAACAGUUUUUGCAAGGUCU
This 742-nucleotide long non-coding RNA is filed under the name Physcomitrium patens. RNAcentral's name for it is "long non-coding RNA (PPAT_LNC007094)". Lineage: Eukaryota; Viridiplantae; Streptophyta; Bryopsida; Funariales; Funariaceae. The record is from RNAcentral.